RNAcentral lists this transfer RNA (91 nucleotides) under Fusarium equiseti. RNAcentral describes it as "tRNA-Glu". It matches the Rfam family "tRNA". From Rfam's summary of the family: Transfer RNA (tRNA) molecules are approximately 80 nucleotides in length. Their secondary structure includes four short double-helical elements and three loops (D, anti-codon, and T loops). Further hydrogen bonds mediate the characteristic L-shaped molecular structure. tRNAs have two regions of fundamental functional importance: the anti-codon, which is responsible for specific mRNA codon recognition, and the 3' end, to which the tRNAs corresponding amino acid is attached (by aminoacyl-tRNA synthetases). tRNAs cope with the degeneracy of the genetic code in two manners: having more than one tRNA (with a specific anti-codon) for a particular amino acid; and 'wobble' base-pairing, i.e. permitting non-standard base-pairing at the 3rd anti-codon position. Lineage: Eukaryota; Fungi; Ascomycota; Sordariomycetes; Hypocreales; Nectriaceae. The record is from RNAcentral.
UCCGGUAUGGUGUAGUGGCUAACAUUUCGCGCUCUCACAAUUUGAGAGAUCAAGUUCCGCGGAGCCCAGGGUUCGAUUCCCUGUACCGGAG